UACGAGAGGUGCAAGCGUUAUCCGGAAUCAUUGGGCGUAAAGCGUCCGCAGCCGGUUAUUUAAGUCCGGGGUGAAAUUACGGUGCUUACCACCGUAAAUGUCUUGGAAACUGGAUAGCUAGAGUAAUGCAGGGGCAGAUGGAAUUCUCGUUGUAGGGGUAAAAUCCGUAGAUAACGAGAGGAACACCAAAAGCGAAGGCAGUCUGCUGGGCAUUCACUGACGGUCAGGGACGAAAGCGUGGGGAGCAAACGGG
RNAcentral lists this ribosomal RNA (253 nucleotides) under uncultured bacterium. RNAcentral's name for it is "partial 16S ribosomal RNA". It matches the Rfam family "Bacterial small subunit ribosomal RNA", at positions 524 to 776 of the family's 1533-position model. The record is from RNAcentral.